UACGGGGGGGGCAAGCGUUGUUCGGAAUUACUGGGCGUAAAGCGUGCGCAGGCGGUUUUGUAAGUCUGUCGUGAAAUCCCCGGGCUCAACCUGGGAAUGGCGAUGGAGACUGCAAGGCUAGAAUCUGGCAGAGGGGGGUAGAAUUCCACGUGUAGCAGUGAAAUGCGUAGAGAUGUGGAGGAACACCGAUGGCGAAGGCAGCCCCCUGGGUCAAGAUUGACGCUCAUGCACGAAAGCGUGGGGAGCAAACAGG
Molecule: ribosomal RNA, 253 nt
Filed under: uncultured bacterium
Lineage: Bacteria
Description: partial 16S ribosomal RNA
Rfam family: Bacterial small subunit ribosomal RNA
Source: RNAcentral